Molecule: ribosomal RNA, 305 nt
Filed under: uncultured bacterium
Lineage: Bacteria
Description: bacterial SSU rRNA
Rfam family: Bacterial small subunit ribosomal RNA
Source: RNAcentral
CCCUACGGGGGGCAGCAGUGAGGAACAUUGGUCAAUGGUCGGGAGACUGAACCAGCCAAGCCGCGUGAGGGAUGAAGGUACAGAGUAUCGUAAACCUCUUUUGUCAGGGGACAAAGGCGGGGACGCGUCCCCGGAUGAGUGUACCUGAAGAAAAAGCAUCGGCUAACUCCGUGCCAGCAGCCGCGGUAAUACGGAGGAUGCGAGCGUUAUCCGGAUUUAUUGGGUUUAAAGGGUGCGCAGGCGGUCUGUUAAGUCAGCGGUCAAAGCCCGGGGCUCAACCCCGGCCCGCCGUUGAAACUGGCAGG